This 388-nucleotide ribosomal RNA is filed under the name uncultured bacterium. Its description in RNAcentral is "bacterial SSU rRNA". It matches the Rfam family "Bacterial small subunit ribosomal RNA", at positions 30 to 426 of the family's 1533-position model. The record is from RNAcentral.
AUUGAACGCUGGCGGCAGGCCUAACACAUGCAAGUCGAGCGGCAGCACUUCGGGUGGCGAGCGGCGAACGGGUGAGUAAUGCAUGGGAAUCUGCCUGAUAGUGGGGGAUAACUCUGGGAAACUAGAGGUAAUACCGCAUACGUCCUACGGGAGAAAGCGGGGGAUCUUCGGACCUCGCGCUAUCAGAGGAGCCCAUGUCCGAUUAGCUAGUUGGUGAGGUAAAGGCUCACCAAGGCGACGAUCGGUAACUGGUCUGAGAGGAUGGUCAGUCACACUGGAACUGAGACACGGUCCAGACUCCUACGGGAGGCAGCAGUGGGGAAUAUUGGACAAUGGGGGCAACCCUGAUCCAGCCAUGCCGCGUGUGUGAAGAAGGCCUUCGGGUUGU